CGCACACGCGCCGGACCGGGUACCGCUGUGCCCGGCCUGGCCGCGGCCUAGUCCCGGCAGACGGGACUGACGAGGUCACCAAGCCCAGGCCGAGACGGCGCGGGUGUCAGGGACUUGGGAAUCCCCCUCCCCCAGUCCCGAUCCCGCUUUCCUUUGGGGUUUCACCUCAGAGGACCCGACAGCACUCUUGCAGAACAGCCGUCUGCCUGUCUUCCUGGCUCGCUCCCUGCAGGAAUGGUCUGGGGCAACCCCAGCAACACGCCCACCUGUGGCCAGGAUGAAUAGGAAUCCAGUUCAGGCUUGGCUUCCAUGGCAAUCAAGGCCCACCAGGCCCCAGCAACCUUCCCUACCCCCCAUUCCUUUUUGCUGCCCCCCUCCACACCAGGCAUGUUCCCUGCCACACCAUGCUGUUCCCCUCACCUGGGCUGCCCUCCCAACUCCUCUCUGCCUCUGGAGAUGCUCUGCCAUUCAAGACUUGGCUCAGGCUCCAGGUCCUCCCUGGGCCUUCUAGAGCCCCUGGUUCUCACUCCUCUGAACACUUCCAGCCUGGCUAAUAGCCCACUGCAUCCUGGCCUGGGGUACAGGUGGCCAGCACAGGUGUGGGGGCCAGCUUCCAACACAAGCACGGGUAGGUCCCUCUGCAGACCAUGGGCUGCAAGAGGCCCGGCCUUGCCCACUGCAGGGGCCCUGCGCAGGGCUGGGCACGAAGCAGGUGGGUGUCCACCAAUCUAGUAUCCAAAACCCUGCUUGGUUCACCCCCACCUCUGUUGAAGGAAAGCAACACUGUGAUGGAGAGGAGCAGCUGUGGAUUCAAAUCCUGGCUUGGCCACUUUCUAGUUGUGUGACUUGGUGCAUCUGCCCUCAUCUCCUCAGAGACAAAAAUGGCAACACCUCCCUUCUUGGGUUACUAUGAGGAUUAAAUAACAAAACCUCCAAGAAGCAGA
This 944-nucleotide long non-coding RNA is filed under the name Homo sapiens (human). RNAcentral describes it as "non-protein coding lnc-MRPL11-1:6". The record is from RNAcentral. Lineage: Eukaryota; Metazoa; Chordata; Mammalia; Primates; Hominidae.